Long non-coding RNA from Oncorhynchus keta (chum salmon), 1726 nucleotides. RefSeq lists it as uncharacterized. The transcript has 3 exons. NCBI's taxonomy places the organism in Eukaryota, Metazoa, Chordata, Actinopteri, Salmoniformes, Salmonidae. The record is from RefSeq and is a predicted model, not a curated record.
AAACAACUAUAGUGGUGUGGGUUCAGGAAGAACAACCGAAAUACAGAGAACCACAACGAAAACAGGCUGUCAUGAAACUUAAAAAUGCUAGUUAACCCAACAAAUGUGGGCCAUUAUACUGGAGGACGAAGAUAGUAUCGCCAAUAACAGAAUACUUCCUCAACAAAGGGAAGCAGCAGAAUAUCAGACCAUCUCCCUGAUGUUUGACGAACAAUGAUAACUACUUUGUCAACACCACGACCAGCUGAUGACGGCUAUGGAAGAUGUUCUUUGUGGUCUUCAACAUCUCGAACAUACCUGAGAGGAUACUAGUGGAUGAUACUCUACCACCUGUUGAGCCAGCCCAUCCAACAGUCUGCCCAGGUCAGUGAUGCCUGGGUGGGUGUAGGCUACGGCUAUCUGGGAGAGAAGAGGCGCUGGCUUCUUAUGAGGGGUUCAUGGCAGUGUUCACAGCUAUCUUCACUCAGCCACCGGAGGGCAGAGGUGAUGAGUGCCUAUUCCAACUAUGGUGGGAUGCCAAGACUGCUGCUGAGUACACGCUCACCUUCCAGACAGUAGCAACAUUCAGCAGAUGGCAUGAGCCAGUGCUCUGUAUGCUUUUCAGAAGAGGACUGCAUUAGGAGGUCCAGAUGGAACUUGCAUGUCGGGAUGACAACCUCCUUGGCUGCACUCAUUGCGAUAGUUAAACAGACUGAUGGCUAACUUUGGGAGCGUCGGUACCACUGCUUCUGUCCUUCCCUCAGUGACCACUCUGUAUCAGAGCCUGAACCCUUGGAGGUAGGGGUCACACAACCUCCCCGCAGCAUAGUGACGGAAACUACUGGGGCUCUGUCCCUGUUGUCGUUAAGGGGAGCUUCAGCAGUGUCCGGUAUGUUUUUACUUGGGAUCCACGAGAGCAGAGGGACGGUCAUGUGAUCUUCCACCUCCUGGGGCAGAGUUCAAGCCCUUGAUGAUCUGUGCAUCUACUAGGAUCUGGGACCACUCACCGUGGAGUCCAUCAUGAGAACUCUCCCUUCAUUAGUGGAGGAUGACAAUCACGGACUGGGCACCCGACUGCUGGAUGACCUGCUUUCCCGUUCCAUGUCGGUUGAGUCCUGUGGUUGCCUUUUAGCCCAACAUCCUGGAGGUAUACAAGGACCUGUGGGAGUUGGUUCCCAAAACCUGCGCCACUAGUCUCCCUCAUCGUCCCUGGGACUGUGCCAUUGACUUGCUUGCGGACUCGGCGCAGAUGCAUCUAUACUGUCUGUGGCUAAGGCCAUGGAGGAUUACAUCCGUGAAGCGAUCCAACAAAAUUUCAUCCACACGUCCACCUCUCCUGCUAGUGUGUGGUGGCUCACCAAGUCCCGUUGCACUCCCGUUGGUGCCGGCAGCUAUCGAACAGCUCCGCGGGGCCGCGUUCUUAUCAAAUUGGAUCUCUGCGGAGUGCAUACAAUCUCAUCCGGGAGAUAGAUGAAUGGAAGACUGCUUUCAGCAUGAUGUCUGGUCACUCUGAUGCCUUUUGGCUUAGCCAAUGCGCCGUCAGUGUUCCAGGCAUUCGCCAACGAGGUGUUACGGGACGUGCUCGGAUGCCAGGUGGCUGUCUAUAUCUACAACAUACUCUUCUACUUGGCUACCUUGGAGGAUCACAUUGAGUAGUCCUGGAACAUCUCCUGGCCAACCAACUAUUUGUCAAGGCAGAGCAGUGACUAUUUCAUCAGGAAGCUGUCUCCUUUCUAGGCAACCAGAA